ACGCUCGACACCUACGGAAGGCAGCAGUGGGGAAUAUUGCACAAUGGGGGAAACCCUGAUGCAGCGACGCCGCGUGAGUGAAGAAGUAUUUCGGUAUGUAAAGCUCUAUCAGCAGGGAAGAAAAUGACGGUACCUGACUAAGAAGCCCGCGACUAUCGCNCGCAGCCGCGGUAAUCUGAGGCGGCGUGGCGAAGGC
This 196-nucleotide ribosomal RNA is filed under the name uncultured bacterium. RNAcentral describes it as "partial 16S ribosomal RNA". It matches the Rfam family "Bacterial small subunit ribosomal RNA", at positions 326 to 538 of the family's 1533-position model. The record is from RNAcentral.